GAAACUUUGACGUCGUCCAUGAACAGUAUGGAACUUGGUCAUAGGAUUACCGAAGCAUUGAAGUCUUGGAAUACUGUAGACGUUGCAAGAAAGCUAGUUACUGGGAAGCAUGUGGUGUUAAAUGAGUUUAUAAAAAUUUGUGAAUCAAAAUACAUGUCACUUCAGAAAUUGAAACAACAAAUAUCUCAAGUCUGAAGGCGGCAACUACAUUCCUGAUCAAUGCCAUUCAGCCGAAAUAUAUUCG
RNAcentral lists this unclassified non-coding RNA (244 nucleotides) under Hevea brasiliensis (rubber tree). Lineage: Eukaryota; Viridiplantae; Streptophyta; Magnoliopsida; Malpighiales; Euphorbiaceae. The record is from RNAcentral.